This 23-nucleotide non-coding RNA is filed under the name Rattus norvegicus (Norway rat). The record is from RNAcentral. Lineage: Eukaryota; Metazoa; Chordata; Mammalia; Rodentia; Muridae.
UGCUAUGCAGCCAGAACCCACCU